UACGGGGGGUGCGAGCGUUGUCCGGAAUCACUGGGCGUAAAGGGCGCGUAGGUGGUUUGAUAAGGGUGUGGUGAAAGUCCGGGGCUCAACCCCGGAUCUGCCGUGCCGACUGUCAAACUCGAGGGCUGUAGAGGCAGACGGAAUUCCGGGUGUAGCGGUGGAAUGCGUAGAGAUCCGGAGGAAGACCAAUAGCGAAGGCAGCUCGCUGGGACGUUACUGACACUGAGGCGCGAAAGCGUGGGGAGCGAACAGG
This 253-nucleotide ribosomal RNA is filed under the name uncultured bacterium. RNAcentral's name for it is "partial 16S ribosomal RNA". It matches the Rfam family "Bacterial small subunit ribosomal RNA", at positions 524 to 776 of the family's 1533-position model. The record is from RNAcentral.